This 433-nucleotide ribosomal RNA is filed under the name Pseudomonas agarici. Its description in RNAcentral is "bacterial SSU rRNA". It matches the Rfam family "Bacterial small subunit ribosomal RNA", at positions 102 to 531 of the family's 1533-position model. Lineage: Bacteria; Pseudomonadati; Pseudomonadota; Gammaproteobacteria; Pseudomonadales; Pseudomonadaceae. The record is from RNAcentral.
ACGGGUGAGUAAUGCCUAGGAAUCUGCCUGGUAGUGGGGGACAACGUCUCGAAAGGGACGCUAAUACCGCAUACGUCCUACGGGAGAAAGCAGGGGACCUUCGGGCCUUGCGCUAUCAGAUGAGCCUAGGUCGGAUUAGCUAGUUGGUGAGGUAAUGGCUCACCAAGGCGACGAUCCGUAACUGGUCUGAGAGGAUGAUCAGUCACACUGGAACUGAGACACGGUCCAGACUCCUACGGGAGGCAGCAGUGGGGAAUAUUGGACAAUGGGCGAAAGCCUGAUCCAGCCAUGCCGCGUGUGUGAAGAAGGUCUUCGGAUUGUAAAGCACUUUAAGUUGGGAGGAAGGGCAUUAACCUAAUACGUUAGUGUUUUGACGUUACCGACAGAAUAAGCACCGGCUAACUCUGUGCCAGCAGCCGCGGUAAUACAGAGG